AUCGAUACAAGACUCUGGCAGGAUCCGGGGGCAAAGAUGUCCGUUGGUGCGGUGGAGCGUAGUAUCGUCAGUCGCUCGGCCGGACGUGUUUGUGAGUAAAUAUCAGCUGGAUGCGCAGCGCGAUUCUGCGACGGCGUGCCGACGUGCGAGCGCGACGACAGUAGGGACGAUCCUCACGACGGCCGUGUGCGCGAGAGAGCCGCGAGCAUGGGCCUCUUCCCGACCUCCUCGCCCUUCGACGCUGAUGUCGAAAAGGCAACCAACGAGAAUAAUGUGACGGAAGAAUGGGGAAAGAUAAUGGACAUCUGUGACAAAGUAGGUACCUCCAGUCAAAACGCCAAGGACUGUUUGCGUUCUAUCGUUAAGAGAUUAUACUGUCAGGACCCUCAUGUGGUCAUGCAAGCUAUAACAUUGUUGGAUGCCUGUGCCAGCAAUUGUGGAAAAAUUUUCCACUUGGAAAUUGCGUCCAGAGAUUUUGAAAAUGACCUGAGAAAGCUUAUUAAUCAUCCGCAGUCAAAAAUAGUAGAUAAAAUUAAGGCGCUCUUAAAAAAAUGGGUGGAGGGUGAUUUUAAGACAGAUCCGCAAUUGAAUCUAAUCCCAAGUUUGUAUAAUAAACUCAGAAGUGAAGGCCAUGACUUUUCCUCUGUCUCAGAUACGCCAAAACGUUCUAGCACUCUGAGCAGAGAUCCUAAUGUAGUAACAAAUUCACAAGAAGAAUCAGAUAUUGCAAAAGCCAUACAACUUUCAUUGCAAGAAAGUAAAGUUCAUACUCAAAGCACUUCGUCGCAUAGCUCACCAGCCUCCAAAAAAAGUACUAGUUUAUAUCCUAGUGUAAAUUCGGUACUUGGAGCAAGUAGCACCUCUCAGGAAGGCAGAAAAGUACGUGCUCUGUAUGAUUUUGAAGCUGCUGAGGAUAACGAAUUGACAUUCUUAGCAGGAGAAAUAAUUAAUAUUUUGGAUGAUUCUCAUCCAAAUUGGUGGAAGGGCAGCAAUCAAAGAGGCGAAGGACUUUUUCCCUCUAACUUUGUUACUGCUGAUUUGUCUGUUGAACCAGAAGAGUUUACAAAAUUGGAACAUAGUAACAAAAAAUUAGUCCAAUUUGCGGAAGAAGUAGAAGUAAAAAUGGUCAAACGUGAGCCAGAAGUGGUGGAAGUUGAAAUAGAUGAAAAGAAAAUGGAUAGAUUAUUACAUCUGUUUCAUGAAGCUGAUCCACAAUGUGAUACCUCCGAUCCUCAGGAAAUGCUUGAUUUAGAAGAACAAGUUACGGCGAUGGGACCUUUGAUUGACGCAGCUUUGGAAAAAGUGGAUAGGCGGCAUGCACAGCUUACGCAAUUAAGUUCUGAUUUGGUUGACGCUCUUAAUCUGUACCAUACCCUGAUGAGAGAACCUCCGACACCGUCUGGCUACACUCUGCCUAAAAUGCAGCCACAUAUAAAUCCUUAUCCAUUCCACAAUCCGGGACCACCACCAACGCACAUGUUUAAUGGUAUGCCGCCUUCUCCGUUUCCCACUGGUGCCGGCUCGGGCCCGGUGGGGCCGUAUAACGCGAGUUUGCCGAGCCACGAAUACAUGGGUCCUACCAGUAUGCCAAACAUCUCAUUACCCCCACAUUUUCACGUGCAAUCUGGACCCCAUCAACAUCCGCCUGGACCUCCACAAGGGUCAUCUUUACCGCCGCCUGAUCAAAAUAAUCUCCCUUAUCAACCACAAGGGAAUUGAUUCUUUUUAAGGAUCAACUGCAUCCGAAAUCGAGCGAUGUGAUUUUAUACGGAGAGAAAUCUUAAGUAUUCUAUAAGGCAUGCAUCACGAGCCGACGCCGCGUCGCGGCUAUUACGCGAGCAUGCUUAACAGGUGUUCGAGAAGUUACCGGAGCUGCAGGCAAAAGUGUUACAUCAGCGCGAAGACGAUGCACGAUUGUUGUACAUAUCCGUAGACCGUGGAAACUCCGAGAAUGGAACUCGGGCCUUAACCACGAGUUGCAGCACGGAUGACAUUGACUAGCCUGUUACCAGUCUACGGCGUCUAUGUUACCACUUGGUGAAAGUUGACGAAGCGCAUCUUCAAGGUUAUCGCCUCCAGAGAAUCGUCUCCGCUCGCGAGUAACGUUUUCUGAAAUUCGGUAACACCAACAGACAUUAAUCAAUUACAGGUGGAAUCGCGAUCUUUUCCUCAAAACGACUGUAAAUGCGAUAAAACAUACAGAUAAUAUCAUCACGCGACGUGCGAAAAGAACGAGUGGUGCCUUAAUAGCCGGGAACGUUAAUUGCUCCAUUGUGCGUUUCAAUUACUCGAUACGAGCGAGUAACAGGUUUUGAGCUCGAGCGCGAAACAAUGUCGAUAAUAAUUUAAUAAGGUUUAACGCGGUUGGUGACUACCGCACAAUGCACAGCACAGAUAUCGUCAUUUAAUAGUAUGAUCUAGACUAGAGAGUGUUAUUUAUGCUUGAGCUACGCUUGUAAAAAAUAAUGAAUAAAUAUUAUCAGCGUGCUAAUAACUUCAUAAUUUGAGCGAAUUAAAGAUUAUUCAAGAUAUUAAUAUACGUAGAUAUUAAAAUUAUUUUUAUUUUAACCUUAUAUGUAUUAAUAUUAAUAAAAAUUUGCGUGCCCUCGUGACAUAACUGAUUUUAUAUACGCUUCCUAAACGAUUAUAAAACUUCAAAUACGUUGAGGAAAUAUAUAUAAAAUGCAUAUUAAUAUGUGCUAUUGGGUGAGGUUUAAUGAUAGAUAUUUAAUUAUAUCAUGAAAUUAACAUUUGUUCUUAAUUUUGUGGCAAAUUAAGACAUUUAAUGCUUCUCAAAUACUCGAUAAAAAUAUAGUCUUACAUGUUUCUUGUAUUAUUAUAUAUAAACUAAAAUUAUAUAGAAAUGUCUUGCAUAUAUGUAAUAUUUAGAUAAAGUAUGUAUAUAUGAUCACGUGAAGAGUAUGAAGAAAAUGAUGUUAACUUUUGAAAUUCAUAUUUAAUUUAUCGACUUUUACAUGUGCUUGUUAUGUCUUCAUCAUUUAAUGUAAUGUAAAUGACCUCAACAAUAAACGAAUUCAAUAAUCAUCGUGUCGCUGUUCCAUCAAAGAAAGAGAAUUUCGUUUUGUUAUGCUCAAAAGACC
Molecule: RNA transcript, 3101 nt
Organism: Solenopsis invicta (red fire ant)
Lineage: Eukaryota; Metazoa; Arthropoda; Insecta; Hymenoptera; Formicidae
Gene: Stam
Gene name: signal transducing adapter molecule 1
Exons: 11
Source: RefSeq, a predicted model, not a curated record